CAGAGCAAGAGAUCUGCGUGAGGGUUACAAGAGCGGCGGCGAAACGAAAAGCUUCGACGGCGAUGGGUAUUGACGGAGAUCGGGUCAACAAGAAGAGAGUUGUUCUCGGU
This 110-nucleotide small RNA is filed under the name Arabidopsis thaliana (thale cress). RNAcentral's name for it is "ATSL046820". Lineage: Eukaryota; Viridiplantae; Streptophyta; Magnoliopsida; Brassicales; Brassicaceae. The record is from RNAcentral.